GGGCCCAGAGCACCGGGCCGUAGUGCGGGUCUUUGCCGGCGGCCCGGGCGGCGUCGACCCGGCGUUCGAGCCGCCGUGCGCUCC
Molecule: transfer RNA, 84 nt
Filed under: Agromyces mediolanus
Lineage: Bacteria; Bacillati; Actinomycetota; Actinomycetes; Micrococcales; Microbacteriaceae
Description: tRNA-Gly
Source: RNAcentral